AGGAAUUUACUUACAUUGUCUUUGGGACUUUAAAAGUCUUUGAAGAGAUGGGGUCCUGCUGGUCUCAAGCUCCUGGGCUCAAGUGACCCUCCUUACAUCAGCUUCCGGAAUAGCUGGGACUCCAGGCUUAGGAGUGGAAUUGUAAUAACUUUCUGAAGAGCUUCCAGACUGUUUUCAACAGCAACCACACAUGAAGGUUCCAUUUUCUGCACAUCCUUGCCAACACGUAUUUUCCUACUUUUUGAUUCUAGCCAUCUUAACAGGUAUGACAUGGUUUUGAUUGGCAUUAAUGACACU
Molecule: long non-coding RNA, 297 nt
Filed under: Homo sapiens (human)
Lineage: Eukaryota; Metazoa; Chordata; Mammalia; Primates; Hominidae
Description: HSALNT0042049
Source: RNAcentral